This 820-nucleotide ribosomal RNA is filed under the name uncultured bacterium. RNAcentral describes it as "bacterial SSU rRNA". It matches the Rfam family "Bacterial small subunit ribosomal RNA", at positions 30 to 889 of the family's 1533-position model. The record is from RNAcentral.
GNNACCUGGCGGCGUGCUUACACAUGCAAGUCGAACGGAGUGUUUUCGGACACUUAGUGGCGGACGGGUGAGUAACGCGUGAGGAUCUGCCCUUAGGAGGGGGACAACUACUGGAAACGGUAGCUAAUACCCCGUAGGCCGAGAGGUGAAAUGAUUUAUUGCCUAGGGAUGAGCUCGCGUCUGAUUAGCUAGUUGGUGAGGUAAAGGCUUACCAAGGCGACGAUCAGUAGCUGGUCUGAGAGGAUGAUCAGCCACACUGGGACUGAGACACGGCCCAGACUCCUACGGGAGGCAGCAGUGGGGAAUUUUCCGCAAUGGGCGCAAGCCUGACGGAGCAACGCCGCGUGAGGGACGAAGGCCUCUGGGCUGUAAACCUCUUUUCUCAAGGAAGAAGAUCUGACGGUACUUGAGGAAUAAGCCACGGCUAAUUCCGUGCCAGCAGCCGCGGUAAUACGGGAGUGGCAAGCGUUAUCCGGAAUUAUUGGGCGUAAAGCGUCCGCAGGCGGCCUUGUAAGUCUGCUGUCAAAGAGUGGAGCUCAACUCCAUAGAGGCAGUGGAAACUGUAAGGCUUGAGUGUGGUAGGGGCAGAGGGAAUUCCCGGUGUAGCGGUGAGAUGCGUAGAUAUCGGGAAGAACACCCAGUGGCGAAGGCGCUCUGCUGGGCCAUAACUGACGCUCAUGGGACGAAAGCCAGGGGAGCGAAAGGGAUUAGAUACCCUGGUAGUCCACGCCGUAAACGAUGAGGACUAGAUGUUGGACGCAUCGGGCGUUCAGUGUCGCAGCUNACGCGUUAAGUCCUCCGCCUGGGGAGUACNGGCCGC